Mycena polygramma is the source of this 87-nucleotide non-coding RNA. The record is from the annotation of a GenBank genome assembly. NCBI's taxonomy places the organism in Eukaryota, Fungi, Basidiomycota, Agaricomycetes, Agaricales, Mycenaceae.
GGGCACAUGGUGUAGUUGGUUAUCACGCUCGCUUAGCAUAUUACAUAAGCCUGCGAGAGGUGUUGGGUUCAAUUCCCAAUGUGUCCA